GUCUCUGUGGCGCAACAGGUUAGCGCGCUUUGCUGUUAACUGAAAGGUUGGUGGUUCAAGCCCUUCCAGAAUCG
Molecule: transfer RNA, 74 nt
Filed under: Danio rerio (zebrafish)
Lineage: Eukaryota; Metazoa; Chordata; Actinopteri; Cypriniformes; Danionidae
Rfam family: tRNA
About the family: Transfer RNA (tRNA) molecules are approximately 80 nucleotides in length. Their secondary structure includes four short double-helical elements and three loops (D, anti-codon, and T loops).
Source: Rfam by way of RNAcentral